UAACUUCGGGAGAAGGCACGCUGGCGGUAGGUGAAGGAGUUUGCCUCCGGAGCUGAAGCCAGUCGCAGAGACCAGCUGGCUGCAACUGUUUAUUAAAAACACAGCACUGUGCAAACACGUAAGUGGACGUAUACGGUGUGACGCCUGCCCGGUGCUGGAAGGUUAAUUGAUGGGGUUAGCCGCAAGGCGAGGCUCUUGACAGAAGCCCCAGUAAACGGCGGCCGUAACUAUAACGGUCCUAAGGUAGCGAAAUUCCUUGUCGGGUAAGUUCCGACCUGCACGAAUGGCGUAAUGAUGGCCAGGCUGUCUCCACCCGAGACUCAGUGAAAUUGAACUCGCUGUGAAGAUGCAGUGUCCCCGCGGCAAGACGGAAAGACCCCGUGAACCUUUACUAUAGCUUGAYACUGAACAUGGAGCCUUGAUGUGUAGGAUAGGUGGGAGGCUGAGAAGUGCGRACGCCAGUCUGCRUGGAGCCAUCCUUGAAAUACCACCCUUGAAUGUUCGAUGUUCUCACCUGGGCCCGUAAACCGGGCCGGGGACAGUGUCUGGCGGGUAGUUUGACUGGGGCGGUCUCCUCCCAAAGGGUAACGGAGGAGCACGAAGGUUGGCUAAUCACGGUCGGACAUCGUGAGGUUAGUGCAAAGGCAUAAGCCAGCUUAACUGCGAGAGUGACGGUUCGAGCAGGUACGAAAGUAGGUCUUAGUGAUCCGGUGGUUCUGAAUGGAAGGGCCAUCGCUCAACGGAUAAAAGGUACUCCGGGGAUAACAGGCUGAUACCGCCCAAGAGUUCAUAUCGACGGCGGUGUUUGGCACCUCGAUGUCGGCUCAUCACAUCCUGGGGCUGAAGUAGGUCCCAAGGGUAUGGCUGUUCGCCAUUUAAAGUGGUACGCGAGCUGGGUUUAGAACGUCGUGAGACAGUUCGGUCCCUAUCUGCCGUGGGCGCAGGAAGAUUGAAAGGGGCUGCUCCUAGUACGAGAGGACCGGAGUGGACRCACCGCUGGUGUACGGGUUGUCAUGCCAAUGGCAUAGCCCGGUAGCUAAGUGCGGGAGAGAUAACCGCUGAAAGCAUCUAAGCGGGAAACUUGCCUUGAGAUGAGUCUUCCCCUGACUGAGGUCACGGAAGGAACGUUUAAGACGAAGACGUGGAUAGGCUGGGUGUGUAAGUGCAGCGAUGCAUUGAGCUGACCAGUACUAAUGAACCGAGAGGCUUAACCUUACAACACCGAAGGUGUUU
RNAcentral lists this ribosomal RNA (1233 nucleotides) under Photorhabdus laumondii subsp. laumondii. Its description in RNAcentral is "bacterial LSU rRNA". It matches the Rfam family "Bacterial large subunit ribosomal RNA", at positions 1731 to 2925 of the family's 2925-position model. The record is from RNAcentral. Lineage: Bacteria; Pseudomonadati; Pseudomonadota; Gammaproteobacteria; Enterobacterales; Morganellaceae.